RNAcentral lists this unclassified non-coding RNA (342 nucleotides) under Thanatephorus sp. Its description in RNAcentral is "partial contains 5.8S ribosomal RNA, internal transcribed spacer 2, and large subunit ribosomal RNA". Lineage: Eukaryota; Fungi; Basidiomycota; Agaricomycetes; Cantharellales; Ceratobasidiaceae. The record is from RNAcentral.
CGCACCUUGCGCUCCUUGGCAUUCCUCGGAGCAUGCCUGUUUGAGUAUCAUGAAAUAUUCAAAGCAAAAUCUUUUGUUAACUCAAUUGGUUCUGCUUUGGUCUUGGAGGGUCUUGCAGCUUCACACCUGCUCCUCUUUGUGCAUUAGCUGGAUCUCAGUGUUAUGCUUGGUUCCACUCGGCGUGAUAAGUUAUCUAUCGCUGAGGACACAUUUUUAUUUUCUUAAAAAAAAUUAAAAGGUGGCCAAGGUAAAUGCAGAUGAACUGCUUCAAAUAGUCCAUUGACUUGGACACUACUUUUAUGAUCUGAUCUCAAAUCAGGUAGGACUACCCGCUGAACUUAA